AUGAGCUCGGCCUCGGUCACCGCUUUCGAGAAGGAGCAUCUCUGGAUGUAUCUGCAGGCGCUCGGCUUCGAGCCAGGCCCAGCAACCAUUGCCUGCGGAAAGAUCGUGUCGCACACGCACCUCGGAGUUUCUGGACCAGUCACUCGCCAAAGAAGUUUUCAAAUUUUGUUGGCCCCCAUUUGACCAAAAAAGUGAUACUGAAUUCCGAAAACAUUGCUGUGAAUGGAUAAAAAGGAUUUCUGGUGAAUGUGGAAGUAGCUUUCCUCAAGUUGUUGGUUCACUAUUUCUUUCUCCUGGUGGUCCUAAGUUUAUUCAUCUGAUGUAUCAUUUUGCAAGAUUUGUUGCAAUGGAAUAUAUUAAAUCCAAUUCUAAAAAUUAUCAGUUAAGCAGAUACGAAACUUGACAUCUGAAUGUAUAGGAUUGGAAAACCAAAUAAAGAAAAUGGAACCCUAUGAUGACCACAGUAACAUAGAAGAAAAAAUUCAAAAGGUUCGGUCUUUGUGGGCUUCAGUGAAUGAAACGCUCAUGUUUUUGGAAAAAGAGAGAGAAGUUGUUAGUUCGGUCCUUAGUCUUGUUAACCAAUAUGCUUUAGAUGGAACUAAUGUUGCUAUUAAUAUUCCAAGGCUCUUACUUGACAAAAUUGAGAAACAAAUGUUUCAGUUGCACAAAGGAAAUGUUUAUGAGGCUGGAAAACUGAACCUCUUAACAGUUAUUCAGUUAUUAAAUGAAGUCUUGAAGGUGAUGAAAUAUGAACGUUGUCAGGCUGAUCAAGCAAGAUUGACGGUAGACCUUCACUACCUUGAAAAAGAGACCAAAUUUCAGAAGGAAAGAUUGUCAGAUCUGAAACAUAUGAGGUAUAGAAUAAAAGAUGAUCUCACAACUAUAAGACAUUCUGUUGUUGAAAAGCAAGGAGAAUGGCAUAAAAAGUGGAAAGAAUUUCUUGGUUUGUCUCCUUUCAGUCUAAUUAAAGGUUGGACUCCAUCUGUAGAUCUUUUACCACCAAUGUCUCCCCUUUCGUUUGAUCCUGCCUCAGAAGAAGUGUAUGCAAAGAGUAUUCUUUGUCAGUAUCCUGCUUCAUUUCCAGAUACACAUAAGCAACAUAACCAAGAAAAUGGUUGCAGAGGAGACAGUGAUACCUUGGGAGCUCUACAUGAUCUAGCCAACAGCCCUGCCUCUUUCUUGUCGCAGUCAGUUUCAUCAUCAGAUAGAAACAGUGUUUCACUACUUGAAAAGGACACAAAGAUGGGAACUCCCAAAGAAAAAAAUGAAGCAAUUUCUAAGAAAAUACCAGAAUUUGAAGUGGAAAAUUCUCCAUUAUCAGAUGUUGCAAAGAAUACAGAGAGUAGUGCAUUUGGAGGGUCUUUACCAGCUAAAAAAAGUGAUCCAUUUCAAAAAGAGCAAGAUCAUCUGGUAGAAGAGGUUGCCAGAGCAGUUUUAUCUGAUUCACCACAGCUCUCUGAAGGAAAAGAAAUAAAAUUAGAGGAACUAAUUGACUCUCUGGGUUCUAACCCCUUCUUAACAAGGAAUCAGAUUCCCCGUACUCCAGAAAAC
This 1551-nucleotide long non-coding RNA is filed under the name Homo sapiens (human). Its description in RNAcentral is "non-protein coding lnc-POM121L12-5:1". The record is from RNAcentral. Lineage: Eukaryota; Metazoa; Chordata; Mammalia; Primates; Hominidae.